GGAAGUAAACGUAACAAGGUCUCCGUAGGUGAACCUGCGGAGGAAUCAUUACAGAGUUCAUGCCCUACCGGGUAGAUCUCCCACCCUAUGUUAUUAUUACUUUGUUGCUUUGGCGGGCCGUUAGGCUCCGGCCCGACUACCGGCCCCGGCUGGUAAGCGCCCGCCAGAGGACCCAAAACCCUGAAUAUUAGUGUCGUCUGAGUACUAUAUAAUAGUUAAAACUUUCAACAACGGAUCUCUUGGUUCUG
Molecule: unclassified non-coding RNA, 248 nt
Filed under: plant metagenome
Description: partial contains small subunit ribosomal RNA, internal transcribed spacer 1, and 5.8S ribosomal RNA
Rfam family: Eukaryotic small subunit ribosomal RNA (bases 1-51)
Source: RNAcentral